UAUAUAAAUGACCAGUCUAAAAACUAUUAUCCGGUUUGGACCAGUUUGCAGGUUUCAGGCGGCAUGGCCAAAUAUUCAGGAAUCAUCAUUUUGAGUAAUAUAGGAGUAACACAGCAACGAGCGAUUUUUUACCCUCAACCUUCACCACCUCCUCCACCUACCUUAAACAUCUUGCAAAUAAAAGGGUUCGCUAUCCACAAUAG
Long non-coding RNA from Haliotis rubra (blacklip abalone), 203 nucleotides. RefSeq lists it as uncharacterized. Lineage: Eukaryota; Metazoa; Mollusca; Gastropoda; Lepetellida; Haliotidae. The record is from RefSeq and is a predicted model, not a curated record. The transcript is spliced from 2 exons.